RNAcentral lists this non-coding RNA (74 nucleotides) under Betaproteobacteria bacterium. Lineage: Bacteria; Pseudomonadati; Pseudomonadota; Betaproteobacteria. The record is from RNAcentral.
UUUCCCCAAUGCGCCGAUUUGAUGAUCAGCUUGCGGGCGCGUAAAAAAUACGGCUAAAGCGAGGGCAAACCCGU